This 282-nucleotide long non-coding RNA is filed under the name Brassica rapa (field mustard). Its description in RNAcentral is "long non-coding RNA (BRAP_LNC008507)". Lineage: Eukaryota; Viridiplantae; Streptophyta; Magnoliopsida; Brassicales; Brassicaceae. The record is from RNAcentral.
GCUGAUGUCGUGCAUAGACUGAAGGAAAAAGAGCUGUUGGAGUUUUAAUGCUUGAGACUCCAAAUAAGGCAGUUUGGUGAUAAUGGGGAUCUUCUUAUUCCUAUGUGGGCUGGUGCAUGGGAUGAAGUUGUAGAACUCUUCUGGCUCGUGUAUAAUGUCUCCUGGAUGUCUUGGUUUAGUAUGGAUGUCGUCUGGUUCUCCUGGUUGGAUUGGAAUUGCUUGGAAUGGAUCAAACCGAAAGAUUGUCCAAUCUUUCCAUAAAUAGCUCCGGUUUGAUUUAAG